This 1063-nucleotide long non-coding RNA is filed under the name Gallus gallus (chicken). Its description in RNAcentral is "lncRNA (ENSGALG00010018571.1)". The record is from RNAcentral. Lineage: Eukaryota; Metazoa; Chordata; Aves; Galliformes; Phasianidae.
GGGGGCACUGUGGGGGCAAUGGGGGGAGGAAUGGGGGGGGCACUGGGGAGGGCAGUGGGGCGGGGGGGGGGAGCUGCAGAAUGGGGUCAUUGUGGGAAUGGGGGGUGGGGGCAGCACGGUGUCCCCAUAGGGUAUGGGAUGUGGGGACACAUAGAAUGGUGUCCCUAUGGGAAUGGGGUCAUGGGGUACACCUCAAUGUCCCCAUAGGUUGUGGGAUAUGGGGACAGACAGAACAGUGCCCCUAUAGGGAAUGGGGUGUGGGGUACAGCCUAAUGAUCCCAUAGGUUAGGGGAUAUGGGGACAUAUAGAAUGGUGUCCCUAUGGGGAAUGGGGUGUGGGGUACAGAACAGUGUCCCCAUAGGUUAUGGGAUAUGGGGACAGACAGAACAGUGUCCCUAUGGGGAAUGGGGUGUGGGGUACAGCCUAAUGACCCCAUAGGUUAUGGGAUAUGGGGACAGACAGCCUGGUGACCCUAUGGGAACGGAGCAUGGGGUACAGAACGGUGUCCCCAUAGGUUAUAGGAUAUGGGGACAGACAGAACAGUGCCCCUACAGGGAAUGGGGUGUGGGGUACAGCCUAUUGACCCCAUAGGUUAUGGGAUAUGGGGACAGACAGAACGGUGUCCCUAUAAGGAAUGGGAGGGGGGGAGAAUUGCUGUGUCCCUAUAGGGAAUGGGGUGUGGGGACGUGAAGAACAGAGUCCCUAUGAGGAAUGGGGUGUGGGGUACAGAACGGUGUCCCCAUAGGUUAUAGGAUAUGGGGACAGACAGAACAGUGCCCCUAUAGGGAAUGGGGUGUGGGGUACAGCGUAAUGACCCCAUAGGUUAUGGGAUAUGGGGACAGACAGAACAGUGUCCCUAUGCGGAAUGGGGUGUGGGGUACAGCCGAAUGACCCCAUAGGUUAUGGGAUAUGGGGACACACAGAAUGGUGUCCCUAUGAGGAAUGAGUCCCUAUGGGCUCAGUGCUAUAUAUAACAUAAGGGGGGGGGGGGGGGGGCCGCCCCAUAGCGCCCUCCCUGACCUUGGGGUCACCGUUCCCGACCCUACAGCUCCACACUGCCCCC